GAGACAAUCAUUAACAAAUAAGCCAAAGUACAAGUUGUCUAAAGUAAGCCCGUGAAUGGAUCGAGUGAUGUUGAGUGACUCUCAUUCCGCACUAAUACGGAGGAACCUUAAAUCAAGAGUGAAUUGAAUAGAUGAACACAACCUCGAGGCUUCAGCUAUAUCUGAGUUCCGAAGAGCAUCAAGAUUUCAAGUAGCAGCAACAAGAACUACUCCUUUAAUAGCACUGAUAAUUGUUCCAAAACCCCAAGUGUUUUGAAUUGGGCCAACAGCGUCAACAUUGAUCUUAUAGCUAUCCUCAGGGGGAGGGGUCAAGGUAGUAGGAAAUGUUUCUUGGUGUGUGGUUAUAGCUCCAUGAUGAGCAUUCAACAACAUUAUGAAAUUUGUUGACUCGUCAAGCCUUCUGAGUUGUAUCAUCCACCUCAAAGUGUUUCCCUUUAAAACAAAAUUG
RNAcentral lists this long non-coding RNA (448 nucleotides) under Cicer arietinum (chickpea). RNAcentral describes it as "long non-coding RNA (CARI_LNC001958)". Lineage: Eukaryota; Viridiplantae; Streptophyta; Magnoliopsida; Fabales; Fabaceae. The record is from RNAcentral.